Molecule: ribosomal RNA, 395 nt
Filed under: uncultured bacterium
Lineage: Bacteria
Description: partial 16S ribosomal RNA
Rfam family: Bacterial small subunit ribosomal RNA
Source: RNAcentral
AUACGUAGGGUGCAAGCGUUAAUCGGAAUUACUGGGCGUAAAGCGUGCGCAGGCGGUUUUGUAAGACAGUGGUGAAAUCCCCGGGCUCAACCUGGGAACUGCCAUUGUGAAUGCAAGGCUGGAGUGUGGCAGAGGGGGAUGGAAUUCCGCGUGUAGCAGUGAAAUGCGUAGGUAUGCGGAGGAACACCGAUGGCGAAGGCAAUCCCCUGGGCCUGUACUGACGCUCAGGCACGAAAGCGUGAGGAGCAAACAGGAUUAGAUACCCUGGUAGUCCACGCCCUAAACGAUGUCAACUGUGUGUUGGGUCUUCAUUGACUCAGUAACGAAGCUAACGCGUGAAGUGGACCGCCUGGGGAGUACGGCCGCAAGGUUGAAACUCAAAUGAAUUGACGGGG